UACGGAGGGAGCUAGCGUUGUUCGGAUAUACUGGGCGUAAAGCGCACGUAGGCGGCGCCGUAAGUCAGGGGUGAAAUCCCGGAGCUCAACUCCGGAACUGCCCUUGAAACUGCAGUGCUAGAAUCCUGGAGAGGCGAGUGGAAUUCCGAGUGUAGAGGUGAAAUUCGUAGAUAUUCGGAAGAACACCAGUGGCGAAGGCGGGUCUCUGGGCCGAUACUGACGCUGAGGAGCGAAAGCGUGGGGAGCGAACAGG
Molecule: ribosomal RNA, 253 nt
Filed under: uncultured bacterium
Lineage: Bacteria
Description: partial 16S ribosomal RNA
Rfam family: Bacterial small subunit ribosomal RNA
Source: RNAcentral